CUGGCGGCGUGCCUAACACAUGCAAGUCAACUUGACUGAAGGAGCAAUCUGACAGUAGAGUGGCGCAAGGGUGCGUAACGCGUAAGUAACUUGCCCAAGGUAAGGAAUAACGUCGAGAAAUCGGCGCUAAUACCUCAUAAUGCAGCGGAUCCGCAUGGAUAUGUUGUUAAAGGUUUACCGCCUUGGGAUAGGCUUGCGUCUGAUUAGCUAGUUGGUGUGGUAACGGCACACCAAGGCUACGAUCAGUAACUGGGUCUGAGAGGAUGAUCAGUCACACUGGAACUGAGACACGGUCCAGACUCCUACGGGAGGCAGCAGUGAGGAAUAUUGGGCAAUGCUCGAAAGAGUGACCCAGCAACGCCGCGUGGAGGAUGAAGGUAUUCUAUAUCGUAAACUCCUGUGAGAGCAGACGAAAGACAGAUUAUUAAUCUGGAUGACUGUAUGCUCAGAGGAAGCCCCGGCUAACUACGUG
This 472-nucleotide ribosomal RNA is filed under the name uncultured bacterium. RNAcentral describes it as "bacterial SSU rRNA". It matches the Rfam family "Bacterial small subunit ribosomal RNA", at positions 36 to 507 of the family's 1533-position model. The record is from RNAcentral.